GAGUAUUUUUCUUUCUCAACAUUUCUACAUAUAUUAUUUCUACACACACGAAUUUCUUAAAUAAUCAAUUAAAAUGAGACAACUGAUCGUGGCCUUCUGCUUGGUGCUCCUCGCAAUGAUUUCAGUCUCGGCCCAGAUAACGAACUGCUCUAGUUUCAUUAGGGAAUGCAACGGUACCCUUCCCUGUUGUAAUUCUACAAUACCACCUUUUCAUACUCUGAGAUGCGUAUUUGGUUUUUGCCUGUAUAAAUAAACUAUAAGAAUGGAAGAAACAUUAAAAUAAUCUAGCAGACUUGAGAGAUGAAAGUAGAUCAGAAGAACCUGCCGCAUAAUUUAUAAAUUUUAGCUUGAUUCUUCUAUAGAAAAACUUACACAAUUCAAACUUUGAUAUACAAUAUUAUGUUAUAAAAAGUUUAUUCUUGAUUUAUUUUGCUUUAACAAUCAGAUGAUCUCUUGACACAGAACAACACAGUUUCCAAAAUAUUUAAUAUUAAAGCUUAAUAAUUUUGUGUAUGUACAAAUCUUUAUAUUAGAGAAAAAGUUCCAAUAAUCUUAACCUUGACUCCUCUAUAUUGUCAAGAAUUGUCUUUAGGAACAAUUAAAAGGCCGACGAUUGUCAUUUAAGAAGUUGUUAAUAAAUAAAAUAAGAUAAAAAAAAUA
Molecule: long non-coding RNA, 660 nt
Organism: Wasmannia auropunctata (little fire ant)
Lineage: Eukaryota; Metazoa; Arthropoda; Insecta; Hymenoptera; Formicidae
Exons: 2
Source: RefSeq, a predicted model, not a curated record